RNAcentral lists this RNase P RNA (430 nucleotides) under Spirochaetaceae bacterium. RNAcentral describes it as "RNase P RNA component class A". It matches the Rfam family "Bacterial RNase P class A". Rfam says of the family: Ribonuclease P (RNase P) is a ubiquitous endoribonuclease, found in archaea, bacteria and eukarya as well as chloroplasts and mitochondria. Its best characterised activity is the generation of mature 5'-ends of tRNAs by cleaving the 5'-leader elements of precursor-tRNAs. Lineage: Bacteria; Pseudomonadati; Spirochaetota; Spirochaetia; Spirochaetales; Spirochaetaceae. The record is from RNAcentral.
GCGAUGAACCAGGUUGCCGCAGCCUAGAAGGUUCUGUACCGUUUAGGUUGAGGAAAGUCCGGGCUCCGUAGGGCAUGAUGCCGGGUAAUUCCCGGGCGGGAAGAUCCCAAGAUUUUUCCGACAGAAAGCGCAACAGAAAAAAUACCGCUCAAGGGCUGAAGGCUGAGCCUUCAGCCCUCAGUAAGGGUGAAAUGGCGGGGUAAGAGCCCACCGGGGGGCCGGUAACGGUCCCGAGGGUUGUUGGAUUUCCCAACAACUUCUGGCAAGCCUCAUCAGGAGCAAAGUCAAGCAGCGGAAAACGGCCCGUUUUCUUCCGCGGGUAGACUGCAUGGAUGCCGUAUGUAAAUACGGCGCUAGAUAGAUGGCAGCCUGAAUUUUCGCCGUAAGGCGAAAAUUCAGCACAGAACCCGGCUUAUGGUUCAUCGCUUUU